This 267-nucleotide ribosomal RNA is filed under the name uncultured bacterium. RNAcentral's name for it is "partial 16S ribosomal RNA". It matches the Rfam family "Bacterial small subunit ribosomal RNA", at positions 28 to 297 of the family's 1533-position model. The record is from RNAcentral.
GACGAACGCUGGCGGCGUGCUUAACACAUGCAAGUCGAGCGGUAAGGCCCUUUCGGGGGUACACGAGCGGCGAACGGGUGAGUAACACGUGGGUGACCUGCCCUCAGCUCUGGGAUAAGCCUGGGAAACCGGGUCUAAUACCGGAUAUGACUCCAUGACGCAUGUUGUGGGGUGGAAAGCCUUGUGCGGCUGAGGAUGGGCCCGCGGCCUAUCAGCUUGUUGGUGGGNGANGGCCUACCAAGGCGACGACGGGUAGCCGGCCUGAGA